Molecule: ribosomal RNA, 324 nt
Filed under: uncultured eukaryote
Lineage: Eukaryota
Description: partial 18S ribosomal RNA
Rfam family: Eukaryotic small subunit ribosomal RNA
Source: RNAcentral
CCCUUAGAUGUUCUGGGCCGCACGCGUGCUACACUGAGUGGAUCAGCGGGUCAGGUUGCGCGAAAGCGUUUCCUAAUCUUUAAAUCCGCUCGUGAUGGGGAUUGACGGUUGCAAUUUUCUGUCAUGAACGAGGAAUACCUUGUAAGCGCGGGUCAUCAUCCCGCGCUGAAUACGUCCCUGCCCUUUGUACACACCGCCCGUCGCUCCUACCGAUUGAAUGAUCCGAUGAAUACCAUGGAUUGAGAGUACGAAUAGGUUCGCUUAUUUCUGCUGCUCGAGAAGUGGAGUAAAUCUUAUCAUUUAGAGGAAGGAGAAGUCGUAACA